AUUGAACGCUGGCGGAAUGCUUUACACAUGCAAGUCGAACGGCAGCACGGACUUCGGUCUGGUGGCGAGUGGCGAACGGGUAAGUAAUGUAUCGGAACGUGCCCAGUCGUGGGGGAUAACGUAGUGAAAAUUACGCUAAUACCGCAUACGAUCUAUGGAUGAAAGCGGGGGAUCGCAAGACCUCGCGCGAUUGGAGCGGCCGAUAUCAGAUUAGGUAGUUGGUGGGGUAAAGGCCCACCAAGCCAACGAUCUGUAGCUGGUCUGAGAGGACGACCAGCCACACUGGAACUGAGACACGGUCCAGACUCCUACGGGAGGUAGCAGUGGGGAAUUUUGGACAAUGGGCGAAAGCCUGAUCCAGCCAUUCCGCGUGCAGGAUGAAGGCCCUCGGGUUGUAAACUGCUUUUGUACAGAACGAAAAGGUUUCUACUAAUACUAGGAGCUCAUGACGGUACUGUAAGAAUAAGCACCGGCUAACUACGUGCCAGCAGCCGCGGUAA
Molecule: ribosomal RNA, 500 nt
Filed under: uncultured bacterium
Lineage: Bacteria
Description: partial 16S ribosomal RNA
Rfam family: Bacterial small subunit ribosomal RNA
Source: RNAcentral